RNAcentral lists this long non-coding RNA (818 nucleotides) under Brassica napus (rape). RNAcentral's name for it is "long non-coding RNA (BNAP_LNC018979)". The record is from RNAcentral. Lineage: Eukaryota; Viridiplantae; Streptophyta; Magnoliopsida; Brassicales; Brassicaceae.
UUCUAGGGUUUGCAUUGAAGAAGAUAAUCCCUUUUAUGACGACCUUCAUCUCCUCUUCAUAGCAUCUUAUUACCUAGAGUGAAUCUUUUGAGGCUCAGAGAUGAUGGACUUUUGAGGAGACGGUCGAAUUCCUGUAUAAAAUCCAGCACCAACAUGAAUGGCCCUUUAAAAAUAUCACAUUUGUAAUGUACUUGAACAUCUGGCUCGAUCAGCAACUGAAAGAAUACGUGUUAUAGUUCAUCAAUCCUUUUACGUGUGGCGUAUAAUUCUUUUUAGGAAACUGGUCAGUACGGCGUGUAAGUAUAAUCAGUGUAUCGGCCUUGUAUUCUUGUGGUGGGGAUCGUUCCUUGUUUUGUCGGUGAGCCGGAUUGAAUUUUUAUUUUAAAAUUUUAAUAUGGAUUAGUUUCAUCUCUGUGGGAAAAAAGCAGUAUACUAUAGACCAAGCAAAUUCAAACUCAUUCGUUUAAUCAAACACUCAAAAAUUAUACUAAAUUUCGUAGCAACUCCUAAAUUACACUAGGACUUUAUGGAGUACACAUCUAUGAAUAUAUGUGAACUAAUAACAUCAUUUUAUAAUAAAGUCAAAAAUAAAAGGAGACAUUUAUUAAAAAAUGAUUUCAAUUAAUUAAAGUAUUCAAAAUAGCCAUUUUUACCAUGAUUACAUAAUCUGAUACGUACUAAGUUAUAUAUUUAAGGAUUUUUAACGUUAAAACCCCUCAACUAUGUUUGUUUUGGGUAAAAACUCUCAAACUAAGUAUUUAAUGUAAAAGCCCACAAACUAACUUUAUUUAACGAAGUAAACCCUAACAGGUCAUAAU